AUGGCCACGACACAGGUGUGUACGAUCUGUGGAGCACAUGACAGUUGGCGACACGCUCUACUUGAUUGUGCCAUGUCACGAUGCAUAUGGGCUCUUAAUGAGGAGCUUGUUCAACACAUGUCCGCAAACAGAGAUGAAAAUGCAAAACGUUGGUUACACUCCAUGCUUGAAACCGUUAUGGAGGAUGAACUCACUGUCAUGAUCGUAACAUUGUGGGCCAUUUGGUCUGCCCGGCGCAAGAAAACAGGUACUGGGUCUCCGGCUGUCCCUGUGAUCAAGCCGACGACAUGGAUCCCACCACCGGACCAGCAUGUGAAAGUGAAUGUUGACGCUGCAGUAGCAAGACAUGGGGGGCUUGGGGUGGCCGCAGCCAUUUGUCGGGACAACACAGGGAUCUACCAGGGGGCGUCCGCGGUAGUCUUCAGAAAUAUCAACGAUCCAGCUGUACUGGAGACCUUGGCGAUCCGGGAAGCUUUGUCUCUAUCUGAUGAUCUUUAUGUCCAGAAAAUAGCUGUAGCUUCGGACUGCAAACAGGUGGUGGAAGGUAUCAAGACGGGUACAUCGGCAUCCUACGGAGCAAUUGUACAUGAAAUAGCUGAACGAUCGAAGUCUUUUACUUCUUGUAGGAUUAGCCAUGAAUUUAGAACCUCUAAUGUACAGGCUCACAAGCUCGCAAAGCACACUUUAACGCUGGGUAUUGGCCGCCAUGCUUGGUUAGGUCUACCCGGAGAUCUUGUUUUCGUCCCUGUAAACAUUGUGACGGGUGAAUAA
Molecule: ribosomal RNA, 771 nt
Filed under: Triticum aestivum (bread wheat)
Lineage: Eukaryota; Viridiplantae; Streptophyta; Magnoliopsida; Poales; Poaceae
Description: partial small subunit ribosomal RNA
Source: RNAcentral